AUACGUAGGGGGCGAGCGUUGUCCGGAAUGAUUGGGCGUAAAGGGCGCGUAGGCGGCCCGGUAAGUCUGGAGUGAAAGUCCUGUUUUUGAGAUGGGAAUUGCUUUGGAUACUGUCGGGCUUGAGUGCAGGAGAGGUAAGUGGAAUUCCCAGUGUAGCGGUGAAAUGCGUAGAGAUUGGGAGGCACACCAGUGGCGAAGGCGACUUACUGGACUGUAACUGACGCUGAGGCGCGAAAGUGUGGGGAGCAAACAGGAUUAGAUACCCUGGUAGUCCACACUGUAAACGAUGAAUGCUAGGUGUAGGGGGUAUCGACCCCUUCUGUGCCGCAGUCAACACAAUAAGCAUUCCGCCUGGGGAGUACGGCCGCAAGGUUGAAACUCAAAUGAAUUGACGGGG
This 397-nucleotide ribosomal RNA is filed under the name uncultured bacterium. Its description in RNAcentral is "partial 16S ribosomal RNA". It matches the Rfam family "Bacterial small subunit ribosomal RNA", at positions 523 to 918 of the family's 1533-position model. The record is from RNAcentral.